RNAcentral lists this transfer RNA (72 nucleotides) under Ornithorhynchus anatinus (platypus). It matches the Rfam family "tRNA". From Rfam's summary of the family: Transfer RNA (tRNA) molecules are approximately 80 nucleotides in length. Their secondary structure includes four short double-helical elements and three loops (D, anti-codon, and T loops). The record is from Rfam by way of RNAcentral. Lineage: Eukaryota; Metazoa; Chordata; Mammalia; Monotremata; Ornithorhynchidae.
GGCAGAGUGGCUCAGUGGAAAGAGCACGGGCUUUGGAGUCAGAGGUCAUGGGUUCAAAUCCUGGAUCUGCCA